RNAcentral lists this ribosomal RNA (492 nucleotides) under uncultured bacterium. RNAcentral's name for it is "partial 16S ribosomal RNA". It matches the Rfam family "Bacterial small subunit ribosomal RNA", at positions 29 to 507 of the family's 1533-position model. The record is from RNAcentral.
AGUGAACGCUGGCGGUAGGCCUAACACAUGCAAGUCGAACGGCAGCUCAGUAAGAGCUUGCUCUUACGGGUGGCGAGUGGCGGACGGGUGAGGCAUACAUCGGAAUCUACUUUUUCGUGGGGGAUAACGUAGGGAAACUUACGCUAAUACCGCAUACGACCUACGGGUGAAAGCAGGGGCUCUUCGGACCUUGAGCGAUUGAAUGAGCCGAUGUCGGAUUAGCUAGUUGGCGGGGUACAGGCCCACCAAGGCGACGAUCCGUAGCUGGUCUGAGAGGAUGAUCAGCCACACUAGAACUGAGACACGGUCCAGACUCCUACGGGAGGCAGCAGUGGGGAAUAUUGGACAAUGGGCGCAAGCCUGAUCCAGCCAUACCGCGUAGGUGAAGAAGGCCCUCGGGUUGUAAAGCCCUUUUGUUGAGAAAGAAAAGCAGCAGGUUAAUACCCCGCUGUUCUGACGGUACCCAAAGAAUAAGCACCGGCUAACUUCGUG